ACUACGGGUGGCUGCAGUGGGGAAUAUUGCACAAUGGGGGAAACCCUGAUGCAGCGACGCCGCGUGAGUGAAGAAGGAUUUCGGUAUGUAAAGCUCUAUCAGCAGGGAAGAAAAUGACGGUACCUGAGUAAGAAGCCCCGGCUAACGACGUGCCAGCAGCCGCGGUAAUACGUAGGGGGCAAGCGUUAUCCGGAUUGACUGGGUGUAAAGGGAGCGUAGACGGCAGCACAAGUCUGGAGUGAAAUGCCGGGGCUUAACCCCGGAACUGCUUGGGAAACGGUGCAGCUAGAGUGCAGGAGAGGUAAGUGGAAUUCCUAGUGUAGCGGUGAAAUGCGUAGAUAUUAGGCGGAACACCAGUGGCGAAGGCGGCUUACUGGACUGUACCUGACGUUGAGGCUCGAAAGCGUGGGGAGCAAACAGGAUUAGAUACCCUUGUAGUC
Molecule: ribosomal RNA, 440 nt
Filed under: uncultured bacterium
Lineage: Bacteria
Description: partial 16S ribosomal RNA
Rfam family: Bacterial small subunit ribosomal RNA
Source: RNAcentral